Molecule: ribosomal RNA, 500 nt
Filed under: uncultured bacterium
Lineage: Bacteria
Description: partial 16S ribosomal RNA
Rfam family: Bacterial small subunit ribosomal RNA
Source: RNAcentral
GACGAACGCUGGCGGCGUGCUUAACACAUGCAAGUCGAACGGGUCUGCCCUGUUUUUUGCGGGGUGGGUCAGUGGCGAACGGGUGAGUAACACGUGAGUAACCUGCCCCUCACUUCUGGAUAACCGCUUGAAAGGGUGGCUAAUACGGGGUGUUCUGGCUGUGCCGCAUGGUGUGGCUGGGAAAGAUUCACUUUUGUGGUGUUUUGGUGGGGGAUGGGCUCGCGGCCUAUCAGCUUGUUGGUGGGGUGAUGGCCUGCCAAGGCUUUGACGGGUAGCCGGCAUGAGAGGGUGGGCGGUCACACUGGGACUGAGAUACGGACCAGACUCCUGCGGGAGGCAGCAGUGGGGGGUAUUGCACAAUGGGCGGAAGCAUGAUGCAGCGACGUCGCGUGAGGGAUGGAGGCCUGCGGGUUGUGAACCUCUUUCGCCGGUGAAGAAGGUCCUGCUCUUUGUGGUGGGGUUGACGGUAGCCGGGUUAUGAAGCGCCGGCUAACUACGUG